AACUUUCAACAACGGAUCUCUUGGUUCUGGCAUCGAUGAAG
RNAcentral lists this ribosomal RNA (41 nucleotides) under uncultured fungus. RNAcentral describes it as "partial 5.8S ribosomal RNA". The record is from RNAcentral. Lineage: Eukaryota; Fungi.